AGUGAACGCUGGCGGUAGGCCUAACACAUGCAAGUCGAACGGCAGCACAGUAAGAGCUUGCUCUUACGGGUGGCGAGUGGCGGACGGGUGAGGAAUACAUCGGAAUCUACUUUUUCGUGGGGGAUAACGUAGGGAAACUUACGCUAAUACCGCAUACGACCUACGGGUGAAAGCAGGGGAUCUUCGGACCUUGCGCGAUUGAAUGAGCCGAUGUCGGAUUAGCUAGUUGGCGGGGUAAAGGCCCACCAAGGCGACGAUCCGUAGCUGGUCUGAGAGGAUGAUCAGCCACACUGGAACUGAGACACGGUCCAGACUCCUACGGGAGGCGGCAGUGGGGAAUAUUGGACAAUGGGCGCAAGCCUGAUCCAGCCAUAUCGCGUGGGUGAAGAAGGCCUUCGGGUUGUAAAGCCCUUUUGUUGGGAAAGAAAAGCAGCAGGUUAAUACCCCGCUGUUCUGACGGUACCCAAAGAAUAAGCACCGGCUAACUUCGUG
Molecule: ribosomal RNA, 492 nt
Filed under: uncultured bacterium
Lineage: Bacteria
Description: partial 16S ribosomal RNA
Rfam family: Bacterial small subunit ribosomal RNA
Source: RNAcentral